Molecule: long non-coding RNA, 312 nt
Organism: Lycium barbarum (goji berry)
Lineage: Eukaryota; Viridiplantae; Streptophyta; Magnoliopsida; Solanales; Solanaceae
Exons: 3
Source: RefSeq, a predicted model, not a curated record
UAUGGGGACUUUAGUUCUUAUGGAGACAUUUUGAGUGGUCAAGUGCCGCUGGAAAAUCUAAGCCAGCAAUUUAAUCAAGCUUACAAUGAAAAUUGGAACUAUUCUCAAAACUCGCCAGUGGUACCAAAUAUGGAUGUUGGUCAAUCCUCUCAGUUCGGUGGAGUUGAUCAUUCUCCACACCAUGACAGUGCUUAUGAACGACAGAGGAUGAAUGCACUUGAUAAUGAAGAUUUUCCUAAUUAUUAUGAGUCAUCAUCAAGUGAUGACGAUGAAAUAGCUAAUAAUGCAGAGGUAACCGAUGAUGAAGAUGAU